UCCUGGUAACCUCCAACAUGGCGGCGAGGGGCCAUGUGCAAGACCCUAACGACCGGAGACUCAGACCGAUAUACGAUUAUCUCGACAAUGGCCAGAACAAGUUGGCUAUCCAGCAGGCCGACAAGUUACUCAAGAAGCACAAGGACCUGCACUGUGCAAAGGUCCUCAAGGCCAUUGGUCUGCAGAGAACAGGCAGGCAGGAAGAAGCGUUCUCAUUGGCUCAGGAGGUUACUGUCCUCGAGCCCACGGAUGACAACUCUCUACAAGCCCUCACCAUACUGUACCGAGAAAUGCAUCGACCGGAGCUAGUAACUAAGCUGUAUGAGGCCGCGGUGCGGAAGGUGCCCAGUAGUGAGGAGUACCACUCUCACCUCUUCAUGGCCUACGCACGCGUCGGGGACUACAAGAAGAUGCAGCAGGCUGGGAUGGCUCUUUACAAGAUUGUGCCCAAGAACCCCUACUAUUUCUGGUCUGUGAUGAGCUUACUAAUGCAGGCCAUCUCUGCCCAGGAUGAGAAGCUGGCCCAGACCAUGUUCCUGCCCCUGGCCGAGAGGAUGGUGGAGAAGAUGGUCAAGGAGGACAAGAUCGAGGCUGAGGCUGAGGUCCAGCUGUACUUCAUGAUCCUGGAGCGUCUGGGGAAGUGUGUGGAGGCUCUGGAGGUGCUGCGAGGCCCACUAGGAGAGAAGCUGACAAGUGAGCUGCAGUGUCGAGAGACGAAGUGUAUGGUGCUCUACAAGCGUCUGGAGAGCUGGCCCGAGUGCAAUGCCCUCUCGCUAAAGCUGCUGCUCAAAAACCCUGACGAUUGGCAGUUCUAUCUCUCCUACUUUGAAUCGCUCUUCCACCUGAUAGACCAGAGCUGGACGCCCCCAUCGGAAGGAGAGCACUGUGCGGAGGGUGAGGUGCACACGGCGGUGUCGCAGGCGGUGUGUUUUGUGGAGGAGCGUGUACGCGCGGAGGAGGAGAAGGAGACGAGGCCCCUGAGGGGACCUUACCUGUCCCGCCUAGAACUCAUACGCCACCUCCGGAAGAGGGGGCUAUCGGAAGAGGCCACACAGCUAGGGGACCCCCUCGAGCUGAUGGUGCAGUACUUUGGCAAGUUUGGAGACAAGCCCUGCUGCAUCACCGACCUGAAGAUCUUCCUGGACCUGCUGCCGCCCGACCAACACGUACAGUUCACCAACCGGCUGAUGGAGGGCGUACCUCUGAACUCGGAGGAGGUGGGCGGGGAUACCCCUGCGGGGUUGCCUAGCGACACACGUGCUCUGCAGCGCCACCUGUGUGUGACGCAGCUGACGCGCAGCCUGGGCCUCCACCACGCCCUCGAGCCGGCCGGCAAGCUGCAGCUCAUCACGCAGCUCAAAGCCCACUACCAACACGGCCUGCAGUUCGGCAAGUCGUGUUUGAAGACGGAGCUGCAGUUCUCAGAUAUGUACUGCCUCAUGGCUGCACACGUCUAUGUAGACCUGUGGAUGGAGUCAGGAGAUGAGACGAUGCUGUGGCGCAGCAUCUGUGUGCUGGAGGAGGGCCUGACCCACAGCCCUUCCAACGCCCAGUUCAAGCUGCUGCUGCUGCUGCUCUUCUGCCGCCUGGGGGCCUUCGAACCCGUGGUGGACCUCUACACCAGUCUGGACGCCAAGCACGUGCAGCACGACACCAUAGGGUACCUCCUGACGCGCUAUGCAGAGGCGCUGGGACAGUUUGCUGCCGCCUCCCAGUCCUGUAACUUCUCUCUCAGGUUUUUCCACUCGAACCAGAAAGAUACCUCAGAGUACAUCAUCCAGGCGUACAAGUACGGCGCGUUUGAGAAGAUCCCAGAGUUCAUAGCGUUCCGCACGCGCCUGAACCACUCGCUGCACUUCGCUCAGGUGCGCACGGAGCGCAUGCUGCUCGACCUCUUCCUGGAGGCGGACCUCUCGUCAUCUCUAGAGGAGAGCGUGAAGGCCAUGUCGCUGACUCCCGAGGAGGAUGACAUCCCCUGGGACUGCCUGAGGGACAACAGGGACCUCACCGUCAUGGUCAGCUGGGACCCCCCAGACCGGCAUCUGACAGAUGCACACAGGAAACAGUCAGUAGAGGAGGAGACGACGUGGUUGAGGGUGCGCUCCCUAACGCUGCGUCUGAUUGGCUCCCUGGCACUGCUAAGCCCCACCCCGCCACCACAGAACUCGGAGAAGACCAAUGAGAACGGAGUGGCCUCCAAGCACGCCCCCUUCCACAAGCUCCUCCCCCAGCUAGAGACUGCCCUUCAGGAAGCAGAAAACUUCACGCAAACACAUACGAAGUCGUACCCAGUGCUAGGUCCGCCUGCUACGCGGAUGGGCGUGGCUCUACAGACGGGCGCCUGCUCCUGCCAGCUCUCCGCCCUCAGACUCGUAGCCUCGCUGCUCGACAUGGACAACGCCGGGCUAGACGAGUCGGCAGAGGCGCAGGCAGAAGUGGCCAGUAGUUUCAAAGCCCUGCUGCAGCAGAUACAGGGCGUUUUGUCCAAAUGUAAAGGGGAGCUGGUGGAGAUGAGGGAAGGCACGUGCAAUACUCACGCCAGCCUCCUGGAGGCGCUGGUGCUCUUCAUAGAGACGGUGUGUGUGGUGCUGUGGGUGGUGACGUUCUGUGCGUCGCUGCUGCGGCCCCUGAAGAGCCAGAAGAAGAAGAAGAAGAAGAAGGAGACCAGCACCAGCGCGGCCACGCCGCUGGUGGUGUGUAGCUUCCAGGAGCUGGUGGCAGUAUUUAUGUAUUUAUUUAUUAGUGUGUGUGUGUUUGUGUGUGUGUGUGUGUGUGUGUGUAGCCGCUGGUGGUGUGUAGCUUCCAGGAGCUGGUUGCAGGUCUCCAGGCGGUGAUGUCUGAGGGGCUCGACCACAUCAAGGAGCAGGAGACCAACAUCACCGCCCUCAACAUGGAGAGCCUGUCGCUACACAACCAACAGGAGGAGGGUGUGUCUCUGAAGACGGUGUUUGGGAAGGUGCAGAAUGUGUGUGUGUGUGUGUGUGUGCACAGGAGGAGGGGAUUGUCCCCUCUUCUGGUUUUGAUAUCGCCACUUUUUAUACAUGAUUAUAAUCACAGUUAUAUGUAAUUCCAUUGAUAUUGCUUGAAAUCUGAAACAUAUCCCCCCUUCUGGUUUUCCGACAAA
Molecule: RNA transcript, 3124 nt
Organism: Engraulis encrasicolus (European anchovy)
Lineage: Eukaryota; Metazoa; Chordata; Actinopteri; Clupeiformes; Engraulidae
Gene: naa25
Gene name: N-alpha-acetyltransferase 25, NatB auxiliary subunit
Exons: 24
Source: RefSeq, a predicted model, not a curated record